RNAcentral lists this long non-coding RNA (309 nucleotides) under Cucumis sativus (cucumber). Its description in RNAcentral is "long non-coding RNA (CSAT_LNC001607)". The record is from RNAcentral. Lineage: Eukaryota; Viridiplantae; Streptophyta; Magnoliopsida; Cucurbitales; Cucurbitaceae.
CCGAAUUCAUGAACGGAGCGAAGCAUCCGCGCGACCACGUCAGCGCAACCGGAAGAAACUAAGGAUUGGAAAUCGAGGACGGCGGGAGCAGGAUUGUGGGCGGAGAAGAAGCGGGAUUCGGGCAAAGAGAGCUGGGGGAGGUGAGUGGAGUUGUCGAGGAAGGUUUUGAAGGUUUCGUUGGCGGCGGAACGGGAUCCGGUGCCGGUUGGGAUUGGGGAGGGCGGGGGAGCUGGGAUUGUUAAAUGGGAUUGUGUGCGUAAGAGAGACAUUUUUCUAAUGGCGAGGGUAGAGGGUGGCGGCAUUUUUUGA